RNAcentral lists this ribosomal RNA (285 nucleotides) under uncultured bacterium. RNAcentral describes it as "partial 16S ribosomal RNA". It matches the Rfam family "Bacterial small subunit ribosomal RNA", at positions 488 to 776 of the family's 1533-position model. The record is from RNAcentral.
AGCCCGCUCAGGUGUGCCAGCAGCCGCGGUAAUACGUAGGAGGCAAGCGUUAUCCGGAAUGACUGGGCGUAAAGGGUGCGUAGGUGGUUUGACAAGUUAGUAGCGCAACUCCGGAGCUUAACUUCGGAACUACUACUAAAACUGUUGGACUUGAGUGCAGGAGGGGCAAUCGGAAUUCCUAGUGUAGCGGUGGAAUGCGUAGAUAUUAGGAGGAACACCAGUGGCGAAGGCGGAUUGCUAGACUGUAACUGACACUGAGGCACGAAAGCGUGGGGAGCAAACAGG